AUGGUGUCUGUUCGUGCUCUACCUCGUAUUGAGGCUAUAUCAGACCACGCACCCAUUCUCUUAACUACUGGUUUGCCACGACCACAACAUAGACGCAAGUUCAAAUUUGAACUUGGGUGGUUGCUUUGGGGUGGCUUCCAAGAUAUGGUCAAGGAGGUGUGGGAGAAACCAGUGGUCGGGCAUACCCCAAUUCACAGAUGGAAUAACAAAAUGCGUGCAUUACGCAAAUUCCUUGGUGGUUGGGCUAGGCAUACGGUGCGUAUCCUCAAAAAGGAGAAGCUUCGUCUUUCAUCUAUCAUUGACGAGUUAGAAGCUUUGGCAGAGGUUAGACAUUUAUCUGAGCAUGAAAUCAAGAUCAAGAGUCAUUCGAAUGCACAGAGAGCUAGCAUGCUGCGUGAAGAGGAACUCAAAUGGUACCAGCAUUCCAACUCUCAGUUUAUCCUGAAAGGUGAUUCGAAUACUAGAUAUUUCCAUGGAGUCGUCAAUGGUAGACACCGGAAGAAAAUUAUUCAUUCCCUACAACAGGACGAGGGCACGAUUGAGGGGCAUGAGCAACUUAAAUCCUACAUCACUAAUUAUUAUAAAAAUCUGUUCGGAGCCCCAGAGGAAGAAAACUUCUCGAUGGAUGAGUCCCGAACAGAUGACAUCCCCCAGGUCUCUAAUGAGGAAAAUGGACUUCUAACAGCCCCGUACACCGAGGAGGAAGUUAGAAAUGCAGUUUUCUUAAUGGAGCACAACAAAGCCCCAGGUCCGGAUGGUUUUCCCGCUGAGUUCUAUCAGAACUUCUGGGAAGUCAUCAAACCGGAUCUCCUACUUUUGUUUAGUGACCUACAUGCUGGCCAACUAGAAUUGUUUUGCUUAAACUUCGAUGAGAUUAUUUUAUUACCUAAGGUUAAUGAGGCUGAAAGGAUACAACAAUAUAGACCUAUUUGCCUUCUUAAUGUUAGUUUCAAAAUAUUUACGAAGGUUGCGACGAUCAGGCUAAAUACGGUUGCUGAACACGUGGUUCGUCCUUCACAGACUGCUUUUAUGCAAGGGAGACACAUCCUAGAUGGAGUUGUUAUCCUUCAUAAAACAAUUCAUGAAUUACAUCAAAAAAAGUUGAAUGGAGUGGUACUCAAAUUAGACUUUGAAAAAGCUUAUGACGAAGUCAAAUGGCCAUUUCUUCAUAAGACUCUCAGAAUGAAAGGAUUUUCUGCAGAGUGGUGCACUAUGAUCCAUAACUUCGUUUCUGGAGGUAGUGUUGCCAUUAAGGUCAAUGAUGACAUUGGACACUAUUUCCAAACGAAAAAGGGGUUGCGACAAGGUGACUCCAUAUCGCCCAUGCUAUUCAAUAUAGUGGCGGAUAUGCUAGCGGUCAUGAUUGAGCGUGCCAAGGUUGAUGGCCAAAUUGAUGGGGUAGUAAAUCAUCUAGCUGAUGGUGGUCUCUCUAUACUUCAAUAUGCCAACGAUACGAUUCUCUUCAUGGAUCAUGACCUCGAGAAAGCGAGAAAUUUGAAAUUAAUUUUAUCCGCAUUCGAGCAACUCUCAGGUCUUAAGAUCAAUUUUCACAAAAGUGAAUUGUUUUGUUUUGGCGAGGCUCAAGGCGACUCCCACCUAUACGCCAAACUAUUCGAAUGCGGGUUGGGCUAG
This 1632-nucleotide ribosomal RNA is filed under the name Triticum aestivum (bread wheat). RNAcentral describes it as "partial small subunit ribosomal RNA". The record is from RNAcentral. Lineage: Eukaryota; Viridiplantae; Streptophyta; Magnoliopsida; Poales; Poaceae.